This 364-nucleotide ribosomal RNA is filed under the name uncultured bacterium. RNAcentral describes it as "bacterial SSU rRNA". It matches the Rfam family "Bacterial small subunit ribosomal RNA", at positions 148 to 509 of the family's 1533-position model. The record is from RNAcentral.
CCGGCGAAAGUCGGAUUAAUACCCUAUGUUAUUCGUAGAGGACAUCUGAAAUGAAUCAAAGGUUUACCGCUAAGGGAUGGGGAUGCGUCUGAUUAGGUUGCAGCGGGGUAACGGCCCGACCUGGCCGACGAUCAGUAGGGGUUCUGAGAGGAAGGUCCCCCACACUGGUACUGAGACACGGACCAGACUCCUACGGGAGGCAGCAGUGAGGAAUAUUGGUCAAUGGGCGUAAGCCUGAACCAGCCAAGUAGCGUGCAGGAUGACGGCCCUAUGGGUUGUAAACUGCUUUUUAUAUAGGGAUAAAGUUCACCACGUGUGGUGUUUUGUAGGUACUAUAUGAAUAAGGACCGGCUAAUUCCGUGCC